Molecule: ribosomal RNA, 646 nt
Filed under: uncultured Acetomicrobium sp.
Lineage: Bacteria; Thermotogati; Synergistota; Synergistia; Synergistales; Acetomicrobiaceae
Description: bacterial SSU rRNA
Rfam family: Bacterial small subunit ribosomal RNA
Source: RNAcentral
UGCAAGUCGUGCGAUACCUCGAGCGAGUCUUACGACAAGCUCAAGGUAGAGCGGCGGACGGGUGAGUAACACGUGAGUAGCUGUCCUAAGGAGGGGGAUAACGCCUGGAAACGGGUGCUAAAACCCCAUAUGCCUCGCAAGAGGUGAAAAUGUAUUACUACAGCCUUAGGGUGUGCUCGCGGCCUAUCAGCUUGUUGGUGAGGUAACGGCUCACCAAGGCUAAGACGGGUAGCCGGCCUGAGAGGGUGUACGGCCACACUGGAAUUGAGAUACGGUCCAGACUCCUACGGGAGGCAGCAGUGGGGAAUCUUGGGCAAUGGGCGAAAGCCUGACCCAGCGACGCCGCGUUGGGGAUGAAGCCCUUCGGGGUGUAAACCCAUGUUGUAGGGGACGAAGAAAGUGACGGUACCCUACGAGGAAGCCCCGGCUAACUACGUGCCAGCAGCCGCGGUAAGACGUAGGGGGCAAGCGUUGUCCGGAAUUACUGGGCGUAAAGGGCACGCAGGCGGUGCGCCAAGUCGAGGGUGUAAAGUUACGGCUCAACCGUGACAUUGCAAUCGAUACUGGCGCGCUGGAGUGCGGGAGAGGGAAGUGGAAUUCCCGGUGUAGCGGUGAAAUGCGUAGAUAUCGGGAGGAACGCCAGUGG